This 1202-nucleotide long non-coding RNA is filed under the name Homo sapiens (human). Its description in RNAcentral is "HSALNT0004003". Lineage: Eukaryota; Metazoa; Chordata; Mammalia; Primates; Hominidae. The record is from RNAcentral.
AGAGACUCCCAGGUUCUGAAUUUCAGGUGGCCUUGGAGGUCCCACUCUUCUCACGAGUCCUUGAUUUUGUUCUUGACAUGUCAACUGGAAGAGCAUUCAAAUUUCCCUGAGUCUGUGUCUCAUGGGGAGGCAUGAGAAAAAGGCAGAAUCAGGAGGCCAUUGAAGUAGUCCAGGUAAGAGAUUAUUUAUGUAUUCAUUCAAUAAGUAUUUUAAACGCUCUUUAUGUGAAAGGCACUGUUGUUAGGGGCUAGGGAUAGAGCAGGAAACAAAAAACAUGGCCCCUGAGACCAGCGAGCUUACAUUCCAGUGGUGGAGAAAGACCAUGCACAAGUAAAUAAAUAAACCAGGUAAUUACAGACUGUGUAGUAAGUGUUGUGAAAUAUGACAAACAACACUUGAAAUAAGGUGGACAUGGAAGGCCUCAGGCCUGAAUAAGAAGGAGCCAGCUGUAUUCCAGGCAGAGGAAGUAGCGCAUAUCAAAGCCCUGACUGUGAACAGUCUGAUGAGGCCUGAACUAGUUUAGGAAGUAGGAAUGGAAAGAAGGAAUGAAUCUGUGAAUAUUUAGAAGGAAUAAUCAGAAGGACAGACUGAAUGCAGUGGUUGAAGGUUGAACUUUGGCACCUCGCUGAUGGUGGUGCCACUUGCAUUGGGGAAGGAGGAGCAGGUUUUAGGGACAAGCAUUUCCCCUCUGGAGGGCUCUCUUUCCCAUCUGUACAAUAGGUUAAUAUAACAACCAAGCUUAGUGCUAGGAUUUUUGUUUUCGUGGUUUUUUGUUGUUUUUGUGUGUGUGUGUGCAUGUGAUGGGGUCUCACUCUGACAUCCAGGCUUGAGGACAGUGGCAUGAUCACAGAUCACUGCAGCCUCAACCUCCCUGGGCUCAGGAGAUCCCCCCCAUCUCAGCCUCCCAAGUAGCUGGGACUACAGGCAUGCACCGCCAUGCCUGGCUAAUUUUUUUUGUUGUUUUUUCUGCAGAGACGGGUUUUUGCCAUGUUGCCCAGGCCAGAUUGCUAGUUCUUAAGAAUGUUAUGUUCCUCACACUUACUGAAUUCCAAAUGAAUUAAAGAUUAUGGCCGGGCAAGGUGGCUCACACCUGUAAUCCCAGCCCUUUGGGAGGCCCAGGCGGGUGAAUCACCUGGAGUUGGAAGUUCAAGACCAGCCUGACCAACGUGGAGAAACCCCAUCUCUACUAAAAAUACAAAAUU